This 75-nucleotide transfer RNA is filed under the name Sulfuracidifex metallicus. RNAcentral's name for it is "tRNA-Met". It matches the Rfam family "tRNA". Rfam says of the family: Transfer RNA (tRNA) molecules are approximately 80 nucleotides in length. The record is from RNAcentral. Lineage: Archaea; Thermoproteati; Thermoproteota; Thermoprotei; Sulfolobales; Sulfolobaceae. RNAcentral also lists the same sequence under 1 other name.
GCCGCCGUAGCUCAGCCCGGCUAGAGCGCCGGACUCAUAAUCCGGUUGUCCGGGGUUCAAAUCCCCGUGGCGGCA